AAAGUCCCGCUCUGGCAAGGUAGGUCAACCACCAGUUAGUAAACAUCGGGCAGGCGGAGGUAACUCCAAAUGUUAAGUACGAUGGGCGCAAGUUGAAGUGAUUUAGCCUCGAAAUUAUUUUUUAUUUAAGCAGGACGACAGAGUAUCCCUUCUGGAAGUCCCCAUUGUAUAACGCGCAUGACAAGUAUCAUAGGGCUGCUUCGAGGGCUACAGUU
This is a non-coding RNA of Methyloprofundus sedimenti, 215 nucleotides long. The record is from Rfam. Lineage: Bacteria; Pseudomonadati; Pseudomonadota; Gammaproteobacteria; Methylococcales; Methylococcaceae.